GCGUAACUAUGAAGUUGGCGUCUUCAAAGCACGUCUUUAACUUUUCGCUUUCUUUAUCUUAUAUCUUCCACUUUCUUCAUUGAACUCCAAUCACUCUGUGAACUCUUUUGCCCGAGAAAAUGGCCGAGUGUGAUUUGACUAGCCCAUUUCCUUCAACUCCUCCGCCACCUUCAUCACCACCACUGCCGGCCUUGCGGCCUUUUUCUGUACCCAUAACCCCUCAGAGAAACCCAGGAGAUGACUGCUUUAGCUGCAGAAGGAAAGGCCAUUGGGCCAAA
RNAcentral lists this unclassified non-coding RNA (278 nucleotides) under Hevea brasiliensis (rubber tree). Lineage: Eukaryota; Viridiplantae; Streptophyta; Magnoliopsida; Malpighiales; Euphorbiaceae. The record is from RNAcentral.